RNAcentral lists this long non-coding RNA (322 nucleotides) under Durio zibethinus. RNAcentral's name for it is "long non-coding RNA (DZIB_LNC001952)". Lineage: Eukaryota; Viridiplantae; Streptophyta; Magnoliopsida; Malvales; Malvaceae. The record is from RNAcentral.
AGAAAAGUUGCUAGCACAAGCAAAAUAAUCCUGGUAAAUGUUUCAGCAAGAGUUCUCUUUCUUAGGGCUUCAAGAGCAGUGACUCUUAUUUAUAUUUAUAUAAAAAAUUUUCAGUGUCUAGUUUGCCACAAGGCGUGCAAGCGAGGAGGGCAAAAGUUGCAGGCACUUGACAACAAGAGAAAGGCCAGUCACAGAACACAAACCCAAUCCAGCCGGAGAACCCAUGCAUUCAAUUAGAAAAACCUUCCUGGUUCAAAGUCAUGUAGGUGCGGUCGAGCGGAAAAAGCCCAAGAGCUCCCCGCGUGGGGACCAUAUACACAGG